This is a long non-coding RNA of Clupea harengus (Atlantic herring), 1174 nucleotides long. RefSeq lists it as uncharacterized. The transcript has 3 exons. NCBI's taxonomy places the organism in Eukaryota, Metazoa, Chordata, Actinopteri, Clupeiformes, Clupeidae. The record is from RefSeq and is a predicted model, not a curated record.
AUAGGCCAGUGUUGUAGUACUGAGUCCAGGACUUGUGACUCGACUUGGUCUUGAGCACUGAUGACUCUGACUCGAGCAUUGAUUGCAUUCGGAUUUAAAGUUCGAGACGAGGUAGGACUGGGUGACAUACAAGUAUAUAAGGUACUGAUAUUUUUUCAAACAAGAUAUAGGAUGAGACAAUACCGUUUAUACCAAUAUAGUUUGAUGUUGCGUUAAAUAACGCAUUUCUUCCGUAAACAUGCCAGUGUUUGCUCCUCUCAUCUUCUCUCUCACUCUCUGCGCAACCCCGCCCCUACUCUCCCUCUGCGUCUGCACAAGUCCUCUAGCCAUAGUGGCCAGAAUGUUUCCAUGAAUAUAAAGAGUUGUAAACAGUAUUAUUGACUUAUAUUUAAACACCUAAAGACGAAUUCAGACCCAGUAUUUUUCGGAAUGGCAUGGACACUAAAGCACUCCUGGUAAGCAAACGCACCAAGGCUGGGAAUGUAUGUGCAGAGAAAGGGAGAGGAAAGGAGAGGAAAGGAGAGGAGGAAAGAGGAGAGGAGAGGAGAGGAGAGAAGAGAAGAGGGGUUUUUGAUGCCUGGGGGACAGGAGCCCUCACGCCGCAGGAUGGAGAAAGGCCGUUUGUUCUGGACGUGGGAAGGUCAGUUGUCAGGGCCAAGGUCGACAAACAAACAAAAAGACGAAAUAACAACAGGAGAAACAAUGGCAGAAAUGUGUGAGGUGUUUUUUUUGUUCCUUCAUCUGAGCGGAAGAUGAUGGCAUGCAGCACGUUUCUUCCUCUGUACUGUCCUCUCCCCCCCAUCGACAACCCAGCACACCCCCUGAGCUGGGCAGAUUUAUGUCCAGGGGGUCAGCAUCAUCUCCACUGCAUCUCAAAACCACAACACUGUUUGAUGUGGUUCUAUAUUGAAAAAAGAAAAUCAUCCUUGAAUACAUUAAACUCAUUACUACAACAUAUUUGACUGUCUUUGCAAUACCAAUGAUUUCUUUUCUCUUUUUUUUUUUUUUUUGCAUGGCAAAGUUAAAAGGUGACACCAACGAACACACAUUCAGAAAACAAAAGAAAGAAAUAUAACAAAGGUGUUUAGGGUUAAGGGUUUUUGGGAUUCCAUCAGAGAUACUCACAAGUUGAAUACUGUAACAUAUAAAGAAGUAGAGUUAGAAACGUAAAUGU